GUGGUGAUGCUGGAAGUCGUGGGCACCUCCCCAGUCG
Molecule: non-coding RNA, 37 nt
Filed under: Geobacter sulfurreducens PCA
Lineage: Bacteria; Pseudomonadati; Thermodesulfobacteriota; Desulfuromonadia; Geobacterales; Geobacteraceae
Source: RNAcentral